This 700-nucleotide ribosomal RNA is filed under the name Voragocoris sp. UCR ENT 00091113. RNAcentral's name for it is "partial large subunit ribosomal RNA". The stretch from base 309 to 644 matches the Rfam family "Bacterial large subunit ribosomal RNA", at positions 2077 to 2643 of the family's 2925-position model. Lineage: Eukaryota; Metazoa; Arthropoda; Insecta; Hemiptera; Schizopteridae. The record is from RNAcentral.
AUAUUUUUUUUAAUUAUUUCUUAGAAGAAAUAAUGUUUUAAUUAGUAUUAUUUAUAAUUAUAAUUUAGGAACUCGGCAACUGUUAAUUUUACCUGUUUAUUAAAAACAUGUCUUUUUGUUAUUUAUUUAAGGUCAGGCCUGCCCAAUGAUUUUUUAUUUAAUGGCUGCAGUAUUUUAACUGUACAAAGGUAGCAUAAUCAUUUGUUUAUUAAUUUUAGACUUGAAUAAAAGGUUAGAUAAGAAUUAGUCUUUCUUAUUUAUAUAAAUAAGAAUUUAUUUUUUAAGUUAAAAAACUUAAAUAAUUUUAUAGGACGAGAAGACCCUAUAGAACUUUAUAUAUAAAUUCUUUAAUUAAAGAAUUUAUAUAUUGAAUUGGGGUGAUUUUAAUUUUUAAUUAACAAUUAAUUUUUUUGUCAAUAAUUUUUGAUUUUUUGAUCCAAUUUUUUUUGAUUAUAAGAUUAAGUUACCUUAGGGAUAACAGCGUUAUUUAAUUGGAGAGUUCUUAUUGAUAAUUUAAGUUUGCGACCUCGAUGUUGAAUUAAGAUAAAAAUUGGAGGUAGAUCUUUAUAUUUUUGGUCUGUUCGACCAUUAAUUUCUUACAUGAUUUGAGUUUAGAUCGGCGUAAGCCAGGUCAGUUUCUAUCCUUUAUAUAAAUUUUUAUUUUUUAGUACGAGAGGACCAAAAAUUUAAUAAAGACUUU